This 497-nucleotide ribosomal RNA is filed under the name uncultured bacterium. RNAcentral's name for it is "partial 16S ribosomal RNA". It matches the Rfam family "Bacterial small subunit ribosomal RNA", at positions 28 to 507 of the family's 1533-position model. The record is from RNAcentral.
GAUGAACGCUGGCGGCGUGCCUAAUACAUGCAAGUCGAGCGAACGGACGAGAAGCUUGCUUUUCUGAUGUUAGCGGCGGACGGGUGAGUAACACGUGGAUAACCUACCUAUAAGACUGGGAUAACUUCGGGAAACCGGAGCUAAUACCGGAUAAUAUUUUGAACCUCAUGGUUCAAAAGUGAAAGACGGUCUUGCUGUCACUUAUAGAUUGAUCCGCGCUGCAUUAGCUAGUUGGUAAGGUAACGGCUUACCAAGGCAACGAUGCAUAGCCGACCUGAGAGGGUGAUCGGCCACACUGGAACUGAGAAACGGUCCAGACUCCUACGGGAGGCAGCAGUAGGGAAUCUUCCGCAAUGGGCGAAAGCCUGACGGAGCAAAGCCGCGUGAGUGAUGAAGGUCUUCGGAUCGUAAAACUCUGUUAUUAGGGAAGAACAUAUGUGUAAGUAACUGUGCACAUCUUGACGGUACCUAAUCAGAAAGCCACGGCUAACUACGUG